This 812-nucleotide ribosomal RNA is filed under the name Keratinophyton indicum. RNAcentral's name for it is "eukaryotic LSU rRNA". It matches the Rfam family "Eukaryotic large subunit ribosomal RNA", at positions 85 to 912 of the family's 3401-position model. The record is from RNAcentral. Lineage: Eukaryota; Fungi; Ascomycota; Eurotiomycetes; Onygenales; Onygenaceae.
AACGGCGAGUGAAGCGGCAAAAGCUCAAAUUUGAAAUCUGGCCCCGUCAGGAGCUCGAGUUGUAAUUUGGAGAGGACACUUCGGAUGUGGCCGCGGCGUAAGUCCCUUGGAACAGGGCGUCAUAGAGGGUGAGAAUCCCGUCUUGCGCCGCCGGACCACGCCCAUGCGAAGUUCCUUCGACGAGUCGAGUUGUUUGGGAAUGCAGCUCUAAGUGGGUGGUAAAUUUCAUCUAAAGCUAAAUAUUGGCCAGAGACCGAUAGCGAACAAGUAGAGUGAUCGAAAGGUUAAAAGCACCUUGAAAAGGGAGUUAAAUAGCACGUGAAAUUGUUGAAAGGGAAGCGCUUGCAACCAGACUCGGUCGCGGGGGCUCAUCGGGCAUGCUUGCCCGUGUACUCCCCCGCGUUCGGGCCAGCAUCGGUUCCGGCGGUUGGUGAAAGGCCCCUGGAAUGUGUCUUCCUCCGGGACGUCUUAUAGCCAGGGGCGCAAUGCUGCCAGCCGGGACCGAGGAACGCGCUUCGGCACGGAUGCUGGCAUAAUGGUUGUAAGCGGCCCGUCUUGAAACACGGACCAAGGAGUCUAACAUCCACGCGAGUGUUCGGGUGUCAAACCCGUGCGCGCAGUGAAAGCGAACGGAGGUAGGAGCCCUCACGGGUGCACUAUCGACCGAUCCUGAAGUCUUCGGAUGGAUUUGAGUAGGAGCGUGGCUGUUGGGACCCGAAAGAUGGUGAACUAUGCCUGAAUAGGGGUGAAGCCAGAGGAAACUCUGGUGGAGGCUCGCAGCGGUUCUGACGUGCAAAUCGUUCGUCAAAUUU